AAGGCUUUAGCUUAAUUAAAGUGUUUGAGUUGCAUUCAAUUGAUGUGGGAUAAAGUCUUGCAAGCCUUA
This 69-nucleotide transfer RNA is filed under the name Xenopus calcaratus (Biafran clawed frog). RNAcentral describes it as "tRNA-Ala". It matches the Rfam family "tRNA". Rfam says of the family: Transfer RNA (tRNA) molecules are approximately 80 nucleotides in length. Their secondary structure includes four short double-helical elements and three loops (D, anti-codon, and T loops). Lineage: Eukaryota; Metazoa; Chordata; Amphibia; Anura; Pipidae. The record is from RNAcentral.